RNAcentral lists this ribosomal RNA (253 nucleotides) under uncultured bacterium. Its description in RNAcentral is "partial 16S ribosomal RNA". It matches the Rfam family "Bacterial small subunit ribosomal RNA", at positions 524 to 776 of the family's 1533-position model. The record is from RNAcentral.
UACGAAGGGGGCUAGCGUUGUUCGGAAUUACUGGGCGUAAAGCGCACGUAGGCGGGUUGUUAAGUCAGGGGUGAAAUCCUGGAGCUCAACUCCAGAACUGCCUUUGAUACUGGCAACCUAGAGACUGGAAGAGGUUAGUGGAAUUCCCAGUGUAGAGGUGAAAUUCGUAGAUAUUGGGAAGAACACCAGUGGCGAAGGCGGCUCACUGGACUGGUAUUGACGCUGAGGUGCGAAAGCGUGGGGAGCAAACAGG